This is a non-coding RNA of Salvia hispanica, 1171 nucleotides long. NCBI's taxonomy places the organism in Eukaryota, Viridiplantae, Streptophyta, Magnoliopsida, Lamiales, Lamiaceae. The record is from RefSeq and is a predicted model, not a curated record.
UUCAAAAAAGCUACUAUUCCAUAUACCCAGCAAUAUGUUUUCGUCUCUUUUCUUUCAACAAUCCCCAAGAUCUCAUCCCGCGCCCCGCCGUACCAAGCAUAUACAAUAUUAUAGUAGAGGCGGAAAGCUUCGAGCCUGGCGUGCCCCGCGAGGGUGGAGUAAGAAGGCUUGUGUAGAGCAACCACAUUAACAUCCUGGCCGAGAGCCCUACCCAUUCCAUCCCUCAACAUCCUCUCAACCUCGCCCUACUUAGCCUCAUCCACUUCCACCCUCACCAUCCCGUUCCUCACGAAAUCUCCGAAUUGGGGGACUGAGACGGCCGAUGCGGACGACGAUUGGCAGUCGGAAUCCGUGGCGGCGUCGUAGUCGUCCACCGUCAUAGAAAUCUGCGGUUCCCGCUCCAUCUCACACAAAUCAGAUUUCAAUGGAAAGGGGCCGUUAUAAGUUAGUUUGAAGGUUUAUUAAUAAGGCGGUUUAGGAAGCAAGCUGAUAUAUAUAUAUAUAUACAAAAUCCACACACUCAUCCUUUCUUUUCCGAUUUUUCUUUUAUUUCAGGAAUUUUCUACAUCUAUCCAUAACAAGAAACGAGGAAUCGAAGAUAAUAAUUGUUAUGCAAAGACGAGCAGAGACUAUCGAUCACAUAUAUUUUUGUUGCAGGUUGUCAAGCAAACUAUGGUUGAUCGGUGGAACAUUUUCCUCUGUCUUUACAAGGAGCCAAAGGUAUGUUUCUUGGCGAGGCUUGGAACACCUUUUGUAAAAUUUGAUAAAAUGGUGUGGAUUUCAAUGUUUUAUGUGGUAGCAUGGUACAUAUGGAGCAUUCAAAAUAAAGGAACGUUUUAAGUACUACAGUCCAAUUGGGAGAUGAAAAAAAAGUACCAUCUUGGAGCAUGGAUUGUAGGAUGGUGUACUCUUUUUCCCCUUACUCCAAUUGAGAUGAUUGAUAAAUUCAGUGACAUAAGAUGAUGGCAGGAAGUGGAUUGAAUGCAAAGAGGACAUGUGCUUUAAGAUCAGAGUACUGAUAUGUUUCUGGGUUCUCUUUUGUUUGGCUGGAGUUGCCGACGAUUGUCUUUUUGUGUUUCAGUUAACUUGAUUUUUGUUUUUGUUUUUGGUUUGAUGUCUUUGUUCUUGCGGUAGUUCUCUUUUAUUUGGCUGGAGUUCCUACACAAUUGCC